This is a long non-coding RNA of Coccinella septempunctata (seven-spotted ladybird), 690 nucleotides long. RefSeq lists it as uncharacterized. The transcript has 2 exons. The record is from RefSeq and is a predicted model, not a curated record. Lineage: Eukaryota; Metazoa; Arthropoda; Insecta; Coleoptera; Coccinellidae.
UGAUGAUAGCAGCGGAGAUUAGAAUUGAUGAACUAAUUAACUAAUGUUAUCCAAACGUGGACGGUACGGGAAUAUCUUUAAAGGUCCACAGAAGAAGUACCUAAAGAAGAGAGCAAGCAAAUAUAGCAAUUACAUAAUAGCAAAGUGGAAACUAUUAUGAGGAUAAGAAGACCUCUGGGACUCUCUGGGUUUGAAAUUGGAUUGGUUACUGUAUUGGGGGUCAUUGGUGGUAUAUACAUUUGGAGACCAUCUCUGCAAGAAAUCAAACAAAAUCCAGAAGUUAAAGAAAAGCAAGAUUCCUCUUAGUUGAUCCAUCAUGGCCAUUAGAUCGAAAUAUGCCGGACAUCCAUUGCUUUUAGCUGCAUCAGGGUUGUUCUUCCUUUCAGGGUGUUAUUUAGUAUAUACAAACUAUUAUAAGCCUUAUGCUCAAAGGAAGCAUUAUAUGCGUCAGGAGGAGCUAAUAAGACCAUUGUUGCUAAGUAGAAAUUUGGUUGUAGACCAUAACCAGAAAAAUGAUGAAUGAUUUCGUUAUGAUAUAUCAUAAUAAAGGUCGAGUCACUCACUGUUCAUCCAUUUCAAAUAGUUGAUACUAUGUUAUGAAUAUAACCGAGUGAAUAUCUGUUAACUCCUAAGAUAAACAUAGGAUUUUUGAUCCUUUCCAUCACUUCCGCAAAUAAAUCAUUGAAAUAA